Molecule: ribosomal RNA, 948 nt
Filed under: Triticum aestivum (bread wheat)
Lineage: Eukaryota; Viridiplantae; Streptophyta; Magnoliopsida; Poales; Poaceae
Description: partial small subunit ribosomal RNA
Source: RNAcentral
AUGGCAGGCAAGAUCACGGUCGGCACCUUCACCCUCCUCGCGGCGCAGCUCCUCGUCCUCACGUCCACUCCAACGAUGGCGAUAUCCAUCCCGCCGGCUACCACGACAGGUACUACCGUCACCGUGCCGUCAGCACCCGCGACGGACGUCCCGGCGCUUCCGUUCCCUGGCGAGGGCGAGGUGGCCGAGGCUGCGGCUGAAUGCUGGAAGGUGGUGCUGCAGGCGGAGAGCUGCGCGGUCGACAUCGUCGAGUGGCUUGCAUCCCCGGAGCUCGCCGGCCGCGUGAGCCUGGCGUGCUGCAGCGUGCUACAGAGGGUCGGCGACAGGUGCCUCCGCGACCUCUUCCCCGACUCUGCGGUCGGCAAGCUCUUCGCUCCCCUGGCUCUGUACAUCAUCUUAGCUUCAGCACUGGAGCACAAAGAACUUUUCUUAGUGGCAUGUGGAGCGACUAAGGAGGAAGCCAAUGGCGUCGCACAUGAGAUAGCAAAACAUAGUUAUGAGAACAAUUUAUCAUGUAACUGGGUAGAUGAUUUUCCUUCUUUUAUUACCCAUUCUCUUGUGAACGAUACCACGCUCGUCACCGUCGCCCUCAUCUCGGUCCAGUUCCUCCUCCUCGGAUCCACUCAAACGAUGGCGGUAACGAUCCCUCCGGGCACAACGACCGGUACUACCGUGCCCUCAGCACCCGCGACCGACGCCGAGGCGCCUGAGGUUCCUGCUGACUGCAUGAAGCUGGUGCAGCAGGCGGGCAGCUGCAAGGAAGACAUCCUCAAAUUGCUCGUGCCCGUGCUGUUCCUCGCCAGCCCCCUGAGCGUGGAGUGCUGUGGUGUGCUCCAGGGGGUCGUAGAUAUGUGCCUCCGCGAGCCGUUCCUCGACUCGGUGGGCCAGCUCUACGCUCCCCUGCUCACUCACUUCUGCGGGAUCCCAACCCCCAGCGGCCGCCAGUAA